This 594-nucleotide long non-coding RNA is filed under the name Phoenix dactylifera (date palm). RNAcentral describes it as "long non-coding RNA (PDAC_LNC001984)". Lineage: Eukaryota; Viridiplantae; Streptophyta; Magnoliopsida; Arecales; Arecaceae. The record is from RNAcentral.
UGAGAUAAUGUGGUGCCACAUCUCAUGAUGUAAAUUUGCAUGUCACUGUAUGUUUCUUCUUUUCUUCUGCCUUUUUUUUCUUUAUAAUGAGUCCAGGCUAAUGCUUUGAUGGUAGAAUAAUACUUACUGUGGUAUAAAGGAUUCCAGCAACAUCAAACCUUCCCUUACACAAACCUACAUUUUAAAACCAGUUUGUUAAUUAAAUGGAAAUAUCUGCUGUCCCCAAUUUACAAGUCCUUUUAGGUCAAAAAAAAAAUGGAACUUAUGCAUAAAGCAAAAUAGCGUGUCUUGCAUUGACAUGGAGCCGAUCCGAUCGAUCAUGAUCGCUUCCCAACUCUUGAAAACAGAACAUAACUAAACCAAACUAGUUCAGAGUUAAAUCAGAUAAACUCAAUUCAAGAUCCGGAAAUUCGGUGAAAUUCAGCACAAACAGGCGAGAGCAGAAAAUGACAUAUACCAACAUAUUACAUGUUUAUUUGCAAACAUAUUUUAGGCUAAAUUGGCAAGGAGAAUGUGCAUUUAGGGGUGUAAUUGAUGAGGGAUUUGGUUUGUGUCAAGUUGAGACAUGGGUACCAUAGGAAAACUAUCAAUGCA